AGGGAUCCUUUUCCAUCAACCAGAGGCGCCGCCAGGAGCCGCAGCUCUUCCCCUCGAAGCAUCGCCAGGAGAAGGAACAAAGAAGACGCAGCCUCUCAUCCAUCAAACUCCUGCAAAGAUCAGAGUCUACACCAGCUCAUGGACCGAGGCUAUGGAUAACGCGGAUGCCACACCCACAUCAACACCACACGUGCAUGGAGAACGUGAAGCGAAGAUCGAAGACGACAACCACGGCAACGGAAUCGGAGGUGCUUCGGCAAGCAAGACUUGCGAAGGUGAUUAACUAGGAGCUUUCCGAUAUCCUAGGAAUCAGAAGAUCAUAUCGCCCAAGACAAGAUCGCUGUCAGUAGGCUAUGGGACGUAUAGGGACUUGUAUUUAUUUUUCUGUAUAGAUUAAUAAAGU
Molecule: long non-coding RNA, 403 nt
Filed under: Setaria viridis
Lineage: Eukaryota; Viridiplantae; Streptophyta; Magnoliopsida; Poales; Poaceae
Description: long non-coding RNA (SVIR_LNC003752)
Source: RNAcentral